CUAGUAACAGCCGUCUCCCAAGCUCACUUGGCCUGAGACGGUCAACAGCGAACAUGCUGAGCUGCUUCUCCACUUCGAGAGGCCGUAGCCUCAGGACCCCAGGAUCUCAGUCCUUCAUCAUCUAUGCAAGUCAGGCUCCACAUUAAAAUUCUGCCACUUGAAAUGCUCAGAUUUGAUUUGACUGGAACUUGGAAUCACUUGGAAAUUGUGGGUGAGAAGAAGAAAGACCAAUGAAGAAGGAACCAUCCAGGCCAGGAUAGAGGUCAAAGAGGAGAAAAGUGACAGAAAGAAAGUCACCAAUUUUCCCUUGACUUUGGACAGCUCUGCUUCCCUCUGAUGAAGCCCAGUUGUGCAAUUUUCUUUCCCUCAAUUAAAGGGAAAAAAUACAGAGUACUGAAAGGCCAA
Long non-coding RNA from Heterocephalus glaber (naked mole-rat), 405 nucleotides. NCBI's taxonomy places the organism in Eukaryota, Metazoa, Chordata, Mammalia, Rodentia, Bathyergidae. The record is from Ensembl.